UUUUUUUUUCUUUUUUUUUUUUGGUGGUCUUUCUAUCUCUGGCUCUUCAAAGAUUCUAUAUUUUUACAGUAGCCUCUCAAAAAUCAGUAUAAUAAAUUGUAGUCCAAAGAACUUAUUUGGUUAGCUUAAAGAAUAUACGUACACAAACAAAAUGAUUUGCAAAUUAAUGCAUAAGUUAAAGGUUCAAAGACUUGCUUCCUUGCCGACUACUGCUUGCUUAGGAAUGAUAACAGGUGGAAAUGGAAUAUAAGCUAUUAUUAAGAAAUUGUUUUUGCUUGGUUUUCACUUUUGUGUAGGUCAAGUUCUUGUGGCUUGCUUAAUCUCCAGAGCUAGCUGGCUGGUCGGCGCAUUUCAUCAGUCUCAUCAGUAUAAAUCUAUUGAUCAAAUCUCAAUUUGUCUUUGCUAAUUUUUCUUUUCCUAACCUAAGAAGUCUGGGUGUAAAUACACAAAUUUCGUUAACUUCAGAUUACAAUUUCUUUGACAUUUUGUUUAGGUAAAUGCAGCUCAAUGUACAUAUAUAUGCCGACUUGAAAAUCACUGUAAUAUUUACAAUGGUAAAUUACAUAUAACUCCCAUGUGGUUUCAUCUAUUACCACAUGACCCUCCUAACGUUUCAAAAUGUCCAUUUCAUACCCCUAUGGUUUUAUAUAAAGUGAAAAUUUGACAACAAACAACCUAUAUAACGUCGUUAGUUGAAAUAUCAAUAGUGCCCUAAUUAAUUAAAUGCUAAAUCAAUUGAUGGCUUAACCACUAUGUAUAAAAGCAUAGGAAAAUUAUGUGAAUAAAUGCAAAAAUCAUAUGUGAUAAAGUGGAUAUUUAUACAAAUCAUAAGGAGAUUACAUGGAUAAUAAAAUUUUAUCACAUGUGCUUUUAAAGCACAUUUGGUAUAAAUGCCACAAGUGAUUGUGCAUUUCGUCCAUUUUCCACUUUAUAUAAAACUAUAGGGGGUUUACGUGGAUAUUUUAAAACCUUAGGAGGGUCAUAUAGCAUUAUGUAAAACCAUAGAGGGUAAUAAGUAAUUUACCCUAUUUACAAUUGUUCUACUCCGUCUUGUAAUUUAAUAUUAGAUAUUGUCAUUUCCACGAUUCCAUCUUCAAGAAAUACAGCCAAUUCAUAUAGGGAAAAUAAAUCUAUCUCUGCACUUGCUGUUACUUACAUGUGCCUUAGCAGAACGUGUCUUUGGCAAACAAACAAUCUGCUUUGCCGGCCUAAAUAAUUUUUAGUUUGUCAUUUUCACAGCUUCUCUUUGUUUGUGAGCUGUUAGCGAGUCUUGUUUAUGUGAUUUUGUCUUUCAAAGAAGGCUCAUGUCAUAUAAUAAACUGAGGUUUUUCUGCAUAUGCUUGGCACAUGCAAGUCUACUCAUAGAACAUUAAGCACUGAUCAUUUUCAUGUCUUAAUUAAAUUUCUUAAUCUAAUAGACAAAGGAAGACAAAGUGGCUGUGGCUGUGGCUAGGUUCAUCUUCAACUUUCAAGAUGGAUAACAAUAGCAUAUUGGUCAUUUUGCCUGUGCACUGAAGAAAUUAAAUAAAUAAAAAAAAAAGCUUCAUCCCAACACUAUUAGCCUUUCAAAGCACUGCUCUAAUUCUCCCCUACUGUGGACAAGAUCAACAUGAAGAUGAAGACAACACAACUCAUUGCAAUACUGUGGUGGGUCGUGGCGAUGAUGGCCCUGCCAAUAUUGGCUCAUGGCAGCAUUGAUCAAAGUCCUGAAGCCGUUAAAAAUUGGUUCAAAGAGCUUCGACAUGCAAAGGAGAAGUUGACAGAGCUUCACUUCUAUGUUCAUGACAGGGUAACUGCAGAGAGCCCCACAUCUGUGCUAGUUGCUCAAGCCAACGCUACUAGCAAAUCUCCCACGAUGUUCGGGGCAACCUACGUCUUCGAUGACCCGAUGACACUGGGACCUGAGCCCAGUUCCCAGAUCAUCGGUCACGCCCAGGGCAUAUCCAGUUCGGCAUCGAAAGAGGAUGAUGCUUCACAAAUUGCCAUCAUGAACUUGGUAUUCAACGAUGGCAAGUUCAAUGGUAGCACCCUUAGCGUUCUAGGUGAUUAUCCCUUCUUCCAGAAGUACAAGGAGAUGCCAAUAGUAGGUGGUUCUGGGGCUUUUCGAUUGGCCCGUGGAUUGGUUACAGCAAUAAUCUAUGCUUACAAUGAUACCACCCAGAAUGAAAUUAUCGACUUCCACGUCCUCGUUCUGCAUUAUUGACCUUGAUUUGAUGCCAUUUGUUGCUCGUACUUUCUUGUGGUUUUCUUUGUCGUAUAACAAAGAUUUCAUGUUAAGGAUAUAAUCCUUGGAUGAUACAAGAAGUAUUGAAGGUUUUUUUGUUUUUUUGUUUUCACUUCUACAGUUCUGCUUGUUUGGUCUCUUUGUUGAUAAUGUUGAUUUUCAGGUAAUAAAGAAAGCUUUUCCUUCUCUUUCUCCAUUAAAUUUUCCUUUUGGCACUUCUUACUUUUCCUUUUGUUUUAAAAAAAUCUAGUAUUAGUUUUUCUUUUCCCUUUUCUACCUUCAUUGCUUGUUUCAUGCUUCUAAAAGCUUAUUUUCCUUAAUAUUUUCUUAUUUCGUUUUCUUUCCUAAACGCAAUGAUAGUAAGGCGCUUAAUUGGGAUUUUUUUUUAAUCUAAUUUCUCUAUCAAGAUUUCCUAUCUAAUUUCAUACUAAGGGUGCAUUUGAUAAAACUGAAGUUUGAAAUCUAAAAUGUGAAGUUUGAAAUCUAAAAUGUGAAGUUUGAAUCCAUUAAGUUAUUGAAUUGUUAAGUAUUAAAUUUAAUACAUUUGAGUGCAUAUCACAUUCAAUGAUAAGUGAAUAGUUUAUCACUUAAUUUUAAGAGCAAGUUUUGCCUAAGAAAUUCAGUGUCAUUUAAUUUAGUUCAGAUGUUCAAUUUUUUAUUAUCAAAUGGUGUAAAUAUAUUAAUAUCUGAAUCCAUUAACUUUAAGCACUGAAUUGAAUUAGGAAACAGGGUCUAAGUCAUUAGUUUUUCAUUUCUCUUUUUUUUUUUCAAAACGGCAACUCAUCAUUCAUUAAACUAAACCAGAGUACAAUCUUUGGAGCAACUGCUCCAACAAUCUGCCUGAACCAAAUCAAGCAACCACGCUGGGAAGUCAAACUUCCAUUCAGCUGUUUUUUCCAAAUUUAUAGCAAACUUUGCUAUAUGGUGACUAACAGAGUUGCUCUCCCUUCUAGUGAAGGAAAAGCAACAUUCAUAAAAACUGAGCUUCAGCCUUUUAAUAUCUGAAAGCACAGUUGCAAUCUCUACAUCAUCUUCUUCACUAUUUAUCCUAUCAAUAACAUACUUACAAUCAGAUUCGAACUCCACCCUCCUCCACCCUUGUUGUUUGGCCACCAGCAUUGCUGCUCUUAAUGCUAAAGCUUCCUCCAUCUUUGGGGUUGAACAACUUGAGCCCGGCACUGCCCAAGCUCCCACUACUUCCUUCUGCCAGUCCCUUGCCACCAACCCCCAUCCUGCUUUCUCCUUGUCUUGUUGAACUGCUGCAUCAGAAUUUAUUUUCACCCAUGCCUCACCUGGUUCCUGCCAUGCACCUGGUUCCACCUUCCCCUCCCCUCUAACUCUGACUAAAUCUUUUUCCUCCAUCUGCACCUCCUGGAACUCUCUCCAUUCCCCAAUAGCUUUUUGGACCACUCCCAUGGGAUCCCUGGCUUUUGCUUCAAACUGUCUCGCAUUCCUUGACUUCCAUAUCUGCCAUAACAAGUUCACAGUCACACCAAUACGCUCCUGCCCCAUCUUCCCCUUCACUGCAUCCUUCAGCUCCUCCCACCAAUGCCAGAAUUUAUACCUAUAUGUCUCCAGCCCCUCCCAACUAACUGGCGCCACUUCCCAGAUGGCCUUUGCAUGGUCACAAAAAAACAGCAAGUGCUCUAAAGUCUCUGUAUGUUCCCCACAACACCUGCACAUAUGAUCCCCCUUGGAGCACCUUGCCUUUACAGUUGCGUUCACUGGCAGGAUAUCUUGUAGACACUUCCAAAGGAAGUGUUUCAGCUUCUGUUUUAUAUUCAACCCCCAAAGAAAGCUCCAACUCUGAGCUGAGCAUCUCCUGUUACUGCUAGAUUCAACAUUCCUCCCAACAGGAGCCCUUCUCUUUUUAAUGCAUUUAGCCAGUUUAUAACCUGACUUAACUGUAUAUUCCCCCGUAUUUGACUUUCUCCAGUAUAACCUAUCUUUCAUACUACAUACACUUAAAGGUAUUCUCAGUAUCUCCUUCCCUUCCUUCUCAUCAAAAACCUGUGCAAUCAGUUCCCUAUCCCACUUGCCAUUAUUUAUAAGAUCACUCACCCUCUGAACAACCACCUCCUCAGUUCUUGGAGUCUUCACUCUCCCAUCCUCUGUGUCUGGUAACCAUCUAUCUUCCCAAAUAUCAAUUGACUUGCCAUCCCCCACCCGUUUCCUGACCCCCUCCUCCAACAGUUCCCUCGCCCUCAAUAAACUUCUCCAGUACCAGGAAUCAGUACCAUGGCCUUGCAUUGCCCAAAUUGAAGUCCCUCUAAAAUACCUUGCCCUCAUGACCUUACUCAUCAGCAAAUUUGGCUUAGUUAAGAUCCUCCAGAGCUGCUUUGCCAGCAAAGCCAGAUUGAACUCCUGCAACUCCCUAAAGCCUAAACCCCCCUCACCCUUCCCCUCAGCCAACUUCCCCCAGUUCAACCAGUGAAUUCUCUGCUCCUUCUCCUUUGAACCCCACCAGAACUUUGCCAUUUCAGAACUAAUCCUCCUACACAAGUCCAUAGGUAUCAAACAGCAGGACAUCACAUAAAUGGGCAAGGCCAUGAGAACUGACUUGAUCAACACCUCUUUACCAGCCUGGCUCAACAAUUUCUCCUUCCAUCCCUUCAACCUCGCUAUUGUUUUCUGACAGAUAUACUCAAAAGUCUGUCUUUUGGAUCUCCCAAUGACUAAAGGUAGCCCCAAAUACCUACUUUGUUCAACCUGCUUCAUCCCUUGCAGUUCUCUCAUCACCCCUUCCUUAUGUCUACUCAUCACAUUCCUGCUAAAAAAUAGAGAAGAUUUCUCAAUAUUGAUCAGCUGUCCAGAGGCUUUUCUGUAUACCUCUAAGAUUCUCCUUAGCUGCUCAGCCUCCAAAACAGAUGCUCUACAGAAAAUCAGAGAGUCAUCUGCAAAAAACAAGUGAGACAGCCUAGGAGCCUUCCUUGCAAUCUUUAACCCAGACAGCUUGCCCUGCACCACAGCUUGAUUCAACAAUGAUGAGAAACCUUCAGCACAUAUCAGAAAUAGAUAAGGAGACAAAGGAUCUCCCUGCCUCAAACCUCUUGUUGGCCUAAUGAAACCUCUUUUCUGACCAUUAAAGUUUAUAGCAUAAGUAACACUAGAAACACACUGCAUCACCCACUGAAUCCACUUAGGACAGAAACCCAUUUUCCCCAUAACUUUUGCCAGAAAAGUCCACUCUACUCUAUCAUAGGCCUUUGACAUAUCAAGCUUAACAGCCAUAAAGCCUUCCCUCCCAGAUCUUUUGUUUUUUAGGAAAUGAAUGUACUCAUGAGCAAUCAGGACAUUAUCCAGGAUCUGCCUACCAGGGACAAAAGCAGACUGUGCCUUACUAAUACAAAGAUUCAGAACCAACUUUAAUCUAUUGGUGAUCACCUUGGCAAUUAUUUUGUACAACACAUUACACAGGCUUAUAGGUCUGAGAUCUGCCAUAGUGCUAGGGGGAACAGAUUUGGGGAUAAGACUAAUCAGAGUCUCAUUAAUGGACUUAAGAAUGAAACCAGAAGCAAAGAAACUAUUGACAGCAUUACAGAUAUCAGUUUUUAAGAUUGACCAAAACUUUUGAAAGAAAAUUGGGGACAUACCAUCUGGUCCAGGGGACUUAUUUGGAUGCAUCGAAAACACAGCUUGACUGAUCUCCUGCUCUGUAACCUUCCUGGUAAGCUCCCUGUUCAUCUCAUCAGUAAUGGUCUGUGGAAUUCCUUCUAAAAUCUCAGAAAAAACCUCAGGUUCCUCUGUCGUAUAAAUCUGCUGAAAAUAGUCCAGAAUCUCCUGGCAUGUUUCCUCCUCAUCCUUACACCACUCUCCAGACCUCUUCUGUAGCACACCUAAUCUAUUAAUCCUCCUCCUCCCAGCCACCGUGGCAUGAAAAUAACUGGUGUUCUUAUCCCCUUCUUGCAACCACUUCACCCUAGCCUUCUGACUCCAAUAUAUCUCUUCCCUUUUAUAAGCCUCUGCCAGUUUCCUUUUUAGACUUGCCAACUUGAUCCUAUACCCAUCACCUUUACAUUCCUUAACCUCUUUGAUCUCCUGCUUCACUUUUCCUAUCAUACUCUUAGAAUUACCUCCCAUCUGCUUGCUCCAACUAAGCAAAUCCACUCUAACUUCCUUUAUUUUUGCCUGAACCAUGAACAACCUGGAUCCCUUUUGCUUACUUCCCCAAGCUCUAUCUACCACCUCCUCUACAUCACUAUUUUGCAGCCAUCUCCUGUCAAACAUAAACCUCCUCUUCCCUUUUUUCCUAACAGGCUUAGUAUCAAACAACAAGAUACAGUGAUCAGAAGCCUCUACCUCUAUAUGUGCACAACUUGCCUUCUCAAACUUCCCUAUCCACCCUUUACUUCCCAAAAUCCUAUCUAUCCUUUCCUUCACCUCCCCCUCCCUGUUCCAAUUAUUGCACCAAGUCCAAGGGACUCCCUCAGCCCCAAUGUCCACCAACUCAUUUUCAUUUAUAAAAGAAUUAAAAUCUUGAAAACUCACAUUAGCUCUUUGUCUACCACCCCACUUUUCAACAUUUGAUCUGAUGUCAUUCAAGUCUCCCAUAAUUGCCCAGGACUCCCCCCAGAUACACCUCCUCCUAGCAAUAACCUUCCACUGUUCUCUCCUAAUACUAGCAUCUGCACUAGCAUAAGCACAGAUGCACCACCAUUCAACCCCUCUUUCACUAUCAUCUAUAAGUAAUUCUAUAGUGAAACUGGUAAACAACACUUUUUUAACCUUUAACUCCUGUUUCCAUAGCACUGCCAAACCUCCCGCCAACCCAACUGGAUCAACCACAAAGACAUUAUCAAACUGAAUCCAUUGCUUAACACUGUUCAAAAAGCUUUUUUUCUUUUUUGUUUCAGCCAAAAAGACCAGAGAUGGAAAGUGGAGUCUUACGACCUCCCUCAACUGGGGAACUGUCAAGGGGCUCCCCACACCUCGACAGUUCCACACCACAGCCCUCAUUUGACACUUGGAGCCCCAAUAAGGGUGGACUCCAACCCCUCAGCAAGUUCCAUCUCCUCACAGUUCCCACCAUCAGACUUUAUUUUCUUCAUAUUUUCCUUCCCUUCCUGAUCCUCUUUCCCCUCCCAUUCCACAGUCUCCAUCUUCCUUUUUCCCUUCUCCAUCCCCCCCUCCACCUGAUUGACUUCCACUAGGGGUCUUCUCUUACUAACUUCCAGAACCAAUCUUUUCCAGGUUUUGUUUGUCCUAUCAGAACCUUUCUUUCUACCCCCCUGCUUCCCUGUCUUCCUCCUUUCCUCCAUAGCCCCCCUGUUCCCUAUCCUCUCCCUUUCAUCCCCCAACCCCCUCUUCCCAUCUCUCUCCCCAUCAACCCACAUAAGGUCAGUCAACUCAUCCACUAACCCCUCCCCCUGGCUCACCCCCUGUGUCAUCACCUGAAUACUAACCCCUCCGGUUAGCUUUUCAUUUCUCAUUAAUCUUUUUGCUUGUCCCUAUUCUCGAUUACAAGUUCUACUUUCAUCAGAUGAAAGGGGCCAAAAUAAUAAAAAACUGCAACUCCAAUUCUUUCAUUAAAAAGGCAAAUCUGGAGCUGCAAAGAGUCUUGCGAAAGGUAGAAUCCACAACUUGAUGGCAAAGAAUCAAAAUUCUAAGGAAUAGGACGUUAGGUGGUGAAAAACUUUUACAAGGCAGAUAAAAGGCAAAAGAAACCAAAAUACCACACACUUAUUUUGCAUCAGAGUCAUCCUAUCUUUACAAAUUCUCUUUUUUUAGAAAAAUGUUACACAACUCUUUUCUAAUCUAAGUUACUUCCCAGUUCCCAACUUAGAUCCUUUCCAAUCUUUAGCGGUGCCCAUGUCUCAUGCUCGGACAAAAUUCGCCUCGACAGGCCACUUCUCCUCUGCCUAUCCUGCAUGCUGAUGGUCGUUGGAAUCUUCAUCCAACCACUCGACCUUGCUCCCCAGGCUACUCGAGGAAAUUGAAUUGGAUUCACACCCUGCUUCUGAUCGGAUCAGUACGAUAAACAACUUUGUAUUAUCAAUCAUAUAUCAUCUUACAGGUGGUGUAAUUAUGGGCAAUCUCACCAAUGUGGGAUUUUACAUUUAUCUGAAGUCAUAUCCACUUGUCUGUCCUCUUUUUUCGACUAAACAGUUGUAAAUAUAUACAGGAGUAAAAUUGACAAUGCGGGGGCUUUGGAUGCUUCUGAUCUAUCAAGUUGUUCUCAGAUUUUUAUCGUAAACAUCGGGAUAUGAAGAGGGGUUGAUUGAGAAGAACAGGAAGAGGGGACGACAUUAGUAUGAUAGUAAGAAAGAAUGUUUCUUAUUAGACUUGGCUGAAACUUAAUUUCAGCCAGUCAUACUAGAAUAUCCAAAGCGUUCUUCUCGAAUCGCUCUAGUACGAUGGAAAGAUGUGUUAGAUAUUUUCAAAAUUUGAUCAGUUGCAAGACGGGGCAUCUUAGGAUCUGACAUAAGAUCCAUCACUGUUUGGUUCCUACAAUACUCAGAAGUUGUUCAAGUCUACUUGACACAUUUUCAUAUUUUUGAUAGUUAACUACUAUCUAAAUAGUGUUUAAACAUGCAAAAAUUAUGUGAACGCUUGCAUUGAUAUUGAGGAACAUUUUGACCAAUACAAAUACACAAAUCAGCGGUGAAAGGUUGCAACUCUUGGUCAUUUCAAUCUCAACUACAUAAAUGUCUGGUAGGGAUGGUUUGCUGCAGAAGAUCAAUUUCCUACUACUAGAAUUCUCUGCAAAAACACAACAUAGUUUAAGUAAGUUUGUCUAACUUUGUGCAAGAGUUAAGACAAAAUACCCUUCAAAUUAUUUUAAAGGAUAUUUGUCCAAAACCUUUGAAUACAAAAUUUUUGAUAAAUAAAGUCUAAAGAAAAGUGAUUUUGAGUCACGAUUUGAAGUCUUUUUGUCUCACUUGCUUUGUAACUUUUAGUCAUUUUCUCCUAUAUUAUCCCCAACAAGAUGGAUCCGCCGGAGAAAAUGCAAAAUGAUAGAAUUGUUCGCUCCCUCCACGCCUUCCACGGUCCAUUUUCAUUCUCUUCCCUGCCGGAGAAGGUGGAUAAAUAAAGGUAGCUUGCUUGUCCUCUGGCGGCUUAUGUCAUCUGCUUGAAGGAUAUUGAGAAAGCUUCCUUACCACAAAUAAGAAAUUGUAUAAGAAUUGAAUUCUAAUGCUAGGUGGACAAGACCAUACAACUAGAAAACGUUGAAAAAUACGAAGUCCUCCAAAAAGUUGGGAUCUCGUGUCUUUGCUUAUCUACCUUCGUUUUCUUCUACCUGUCUCAGUAAUAGAAGUCAUAUUUGAAGUAUUUGAAAUUUGUUCUAACAAUUUGAGUUCAGGAAUAGAUUAUAUUAUGGUAGGAAACUACUUCAUUUUUUAUCUAUUAAAAUAUUAUUUGAUACCACUAUACAAAGGCACUGUAUAUGGCAUUUGAUGCAGGAUUGUUGCAUCUCCAAAGUUCACAAGAAGGUUACAGUUUACACCAAUCAUAUGAACAUGCAUAUAAAUAGAACAUUUAUUACUAUUUUUUCAAGGGCUAAUUACAAUUUACCCCAUGUGGUUUAGUGUUUUAUUGCAUAACCCCUUAUGGUUUCAAAAGCUAUACAUAACCCCUCAUGCUUUAGAUUAAAGUGUCAAAGUGAUGGAACUUACAAUCCAUAACGGAGUCAACUAUAAUAUCAAAAAUACUCCUAUAUAAAGUUAAAAAUUAUUUAUUAACCACAGGGGAUUAUGUAUAUAUAUUAAAAAUCAUAAGAGAGUUAUAUGAUAAAUCACUAAAGCAUGAGGGGGUUAUAUGGUAAAAUAUAAAAUCAUAUAGGGUUAGAAUAUCAUGCAUAUUAUUUAUAUAUAUUUUGGUUAUUUUAGUUUUUAAACAAAGGUAAUUUCGAUAUUUUCAUAGGUUCCAUUACAGGUGAUCAUUUCCAUCACUUUAAUACUUUAAUCCAAAUUAUGAGGGGGUUAUAUAUAACUUUUAAAACUAGUGGGAGGGUUAUGUGUAAAUUAGUUAUACCGCAGAUGGGUAAAGUGUAAUUUGCCCUUUUUUCAAAUAAUGCUAGAUGAUUGCCACCGGAAGGUGUUAAAAACUUGAAAAAAAAAUUGUCGAAAGAAGAAAAACCAAAAAGACUUGACCACCACGCCAAGAUCACGCAUAGGGCUGCAAACGAGUCGAGCCGACUCGAGUUUUAGCCUAAUCGAGUCGAGUCUUGACUUAAUUUUAGUGAACUCGAACUCGAGCUCGAGCUCGACGAGCCGACAAUUUAAAGCUCGAGCUCGAGCUCGAAAAAAAAAAUUUAUUUUAUUUUUUUAAAAAAUAAAUAAUAUAAUUUUUUUUCUUAAUUAAUAAUAAAAGAUUAAGGAUAUAUAUGUAAUUUUACUAUUAAAAUAAAAAAAUAAAAAAAUAUAUAUAUACUUAAAAUUAAAAAAUAUAUAUACUUAAUAUAUAUAUAUAUAUAUAUAUAUAUAUAUAUAUAUAUAUAUAUAUAUAUAUAUAUACUCGAGCUCGUGAGCCGGGCUUAAUAUCUUGACCUCGAGUUCGAGGUCAAAUUUGACUCGAGCCAGCUCGAGCUCGAGUCGAGCUUGACUCGAGCCGCUCGCGAGCCGCAGUUCGUUUGCAGCCCUAAUCAAGGCACUCAUAUUAUCAACAGUAACAGGUUGCUGCCACCAAUCCCUUGUGCAAAAUCACCCCAAAUAUCCAAAGCUACACCCAACAACAAUGAAACACUAUAGCGGCUAAUACUACACUACCAAUGAAAUGUAUACAAAAGCAACUAGUACUACAAUGCCAAUAAAAAAAAUGUAUACAAAAACCACGUCCUUUUUUUUCAGUAUAAAUAGAUGAAUUAUUAGUAUUUGCGUGGCUAAGGAGGCCUUGAUGUAGAAGAUAAAAUUGAGAUUUCAGAAAUUAGAGAUUCUUGGCUCAUUUUCCCUUAUCCCCUCCCUUGCUAGAAGAAUAAAACUAACUUUAAAACUUAGUAUUUGCGUAAAUCACAAAAGCACAGAAAGUUUACAUCAUGGAAGAGGAACAGGGAUCAAAACGGAAUUUUAUUGGGAAGGGACUGAAUGGAUGGAUGGAUAGAUAGAUGUCCGUGAAUCCACAAUAUAGUCUGCUGAAUGAUACAAAACAUACCAAAUAUGAAGACAAGCCAGUCACAAUCAUGUGAAGCCAUUAUUCGACCAUGUUAGACACCGCGAAAUGCUGUCUUGCAAAGAUUCCUACACUACAUAAAGGCACUAAUUUAUCAAGGGCUUCAGCAGCUUCCAAGUCUUGAGUGUUCGUUGCUUUGCCAACUCCUCCUACUGAAAUAUCCUACACAUGAUUCCUACACUACACUGAAAUAUCCUACAUAUGCUGUCUUGCAAAGAUUCCUACACUACAUAAAGGCACUAAUUUAUCAAGGGCUUCAGCAGCUUCCAAGUCUUGAGUGUUCGUUGCUUUGCCAACUCCUCCUACUGAAAUAUCACCUGCUGUAAUUUGAGCUGGUGCAUUCAGUCCCAUUGAUCUGGCUUUAACCAUUAUUCCCCCAAACUGAACCAUGUUUGCAUGGCUAUGUAGACGACUAAACAGAAGUGAUGGCCAAUAUCCAACAACUAUCCCUGGCCCGAUUUCGAGCCACCAAUGCCCAUGCUUAGCAUCCUACAAAAAUGAAACUUGAGUCGUAUAAAGACAGUGUGUUUGGACAGGAAAUUAUUUGAAAUAUUACUUGACUAAUGUAGUACUAUUAUAACGUGACAUACAUAGAUGGAACUAAAAAAUAUAUCUUGAGGGUUUAAGCUUUAAUAUACCUAAACUUAAAUGUAUAACCUAAAAUAUUUUUGAGUUUUUGUAGGGGUGAGAUUUGAAAUUUAGAAUCAUUUACAUAUAACCCCCUGUGGUUUCAUCUGUUACUACAUGAUCCCCCAACGCUUCAAAAUGUCCACUUCACUCCCUAUGGUUUUAUAUGAAGUGGAAGUUUGAUGGAAAAUAGUUAUCUAAUGUCAUUAGUUGAAUUAUCAAUAGUGUCCUUACUUAAAUACUAAAUUAAUCGACGGCUUAACCACCUUAUAUAAAAGUAUAGAGAGAUUACGUAGAUAAAUGCAAAAAUCACAGGAGGUAAAAUGGAUAUUUAUACAAAUCAUAAGGGGGUUACAGGGAUAUUAAAGCACGUUUGGUAUAAAUGUUUAAACUGAUUGUGCAUUCCUUCCAUUUUUCACUUUACAUAAAACUACAAGGGAGUUAUUUGGCUAUUUUAAAGCCUUAGGAGGGUCUAUCAUUUUGUAAAACUACAAGGGAUCAUAAGUAAUUUACCCUUCAAUUUAUAAAGAGUGAUUUUGAAAAAUUUUUAAUCUCAUAAGGGAGGAAACUUAAAUUUUAAUAGACUUGAAGGAGGCUCUUCCCACAUCCCCUAGUUCCAUCUUUGGUGAUAUAUAUGAGAUUUUCCUUUUAAAAAAAUAGUGAUUAAAAAGAUAAAAGGAGAAUAAAAAAAUGUGUUUGUAACACAAGCAAAUAAUAUUUUACAAAACAAUACCAAUCCAAACAUGAUUACUACUCUAUCAAAUAUGCAAAAAAAAAAAAAAAUAGAUAUUUGACAUUUGAAUAAAAUGACUUGUGACAUGAUUAGUUCAAGCUUUGUUGACCUUGGUUGAUCAGUCCUUGGUUUUGAUGAUUAACAAACCAAAAUGUAGAUUUGGACUAAUUUUUUUAUGUGAGAAAUUUGUUAGAACAGGUCAUUGAUCCAAAAGAGAAUCGAAAAGAUUUGAAUCAAAGAGAAGUUAAGAAAUAUGAAGGUUCGGACGUAGAGAAUCGGACGCUCGAUAGAGGAUCGGACGUCCGACAGACGACGAUACUCUUCGGACGCUUGGAUCGGACGCUUGGAUCGGACGCUUAUUCAUUGCUUCGGCCGUCCAACACAAAAAGAAUGAAAGUUGAACAUUCUGACUUCUAUCGGACGCAGGGUUCGGACGCAGAACAAAUGGUUCGGACGUCCGAUAGGUGGUUCGGACGCAUGGUUCGGACGCAGAGCAAAUGGUUCGGACGUUCGACAGGCCAACGGCUAGUUUCGACAGCAUUUAAUAUUUGACCGUUGGAGAGCCUUUUGGAGCCAUUUCUCACCUUCUAUAAAUACCCCAAAACACAAGAAAACACAGACUUUUGCCAACACUAAAUACAAGCUUACAAGUGAGAUCUUUGAGUAGAAAUAUUCUUUGUUGGUUGUAUAAGGGGUUGGGAAAGUUGGGUUGUGAGGUUGCUCAAGUGAAGGUUACUCUCUAGGAGGAGUAAAACCUUGGUGAAGGUGAACCUAUCACUUGGAGUGGUAAAAGUUUGAUAAAGGUUGCCUCACUUGUAUAAAGUAGUUCUUAAUUGAGUGGGUAAACUUUCAAUUGUAGCUAGUUGAGGGUUUACUUGGAGAGUAGUAAAAUUCCUUUGCUCAACCAAAGUAUGUUUGGGGUGAGGAAGGAGUGAGCCUUCACUUGUACAAGUUGGUUAGCACUACCAUCAAUUGAAGAAACUAUUUGGUGGAUUCAACUCCAAGUUUGGAAGAAACUUGGGAGUUUGAUUGGUUUGAAUUUCUUUUACUUUAUUGUUACUCUAUUUUUGUGCUUUAAAAUUGCUUAUAUUUUUUGUCAUCGUAUUUACUUGACUACUUGUCUGGUUGAGUAUUUUGGUUGUAUUUGGUUGCAUCGGGGCUAACAAUUGGCAUCAGAGUUUGGUCUCCUAGAGAUUAAGCUUAACCGCUUAGAGUAAAGAUCAUGGCAACCAUAAAUGUUUCUUUUUUAGAAGGGCAAUCUAUUGAUAGACCACCUAUGUUUAAUGGUUCUCAUUUUAGCAUGUGGAAACAAAGAAUAAUGAUUUUCUUACAAUCCGUUUAUAUUGAAUUAUGGUAUGUGGUAGAAGAUGGUCCUUAUGAAGCUAGAAUAGUUGACUCUACCACUAAUUUGAGUAGAUUAAAGACUAGACAAGAAUUGAAUGAAAAAGACAAGAGAUACCUUUCUUUGAAUGCCAAGACCAUGUAUAUAUUGUGCAAUGCAUUAGAUGUAAAUGAAUCUAGUAGAAUUAAAGGUUGUAAAUCAGCUAAAGAUAUUUGGGAUAAAUUGGGUGAAUUUCAUGAAGGUAACCAAGAUAUUAAAGAACAAAAGAAAUCUUUGCUUGUUUCUCAAUAUGAAUUUUUCAAAAUGCAUCCUCUUGAAAAUGUUGAUAAGAUGUGUAGUAGAUUUUGUGACAUUAUUCAAGAUCUUAAAUUGCUUGGAAAAGAAUAUUUUUUGGGUGAGAAAAAUAGAAAGAUUUUGAAUGUCUUGUCAAAAGAAUGGGAAAACAAAAUAAAUGCUAUAGAAGAGGCAAAUGAUUUAAAUUCUAUGUCCAUUGAAUCUCUUGUGAAUUCCCUAACCUCUUAUGAAUUAAAGCUGAAAUUCAAAGUGCAAGAGGAAGAAAAUGCAAGAAUGUAUAAGAGAGGCAUAGUUUUUAAAGCAUCUCAAGUGGGGGAUAACCCAUCCUUCAUGGGUAAUGAAAACAUGGAAGUGGACAAUGAUAUAACUCCUCACAUCAAAAGUUUCAAGAAGAUCUUCAACAAGAGAAGUUCAAGAGGAGAUUGCAAAAUUACAUGAGAUGAAUGCAAUUCAAAAAGAGAAAAAGAAGAGUUGGCCCAAAUGGCACUAAUGGCCUUUGGAGAAGAUGAGGUAAAUUCUUAUCACUCUUCUAGUGAUGAAGAUAAUGAAGAUGAUGAUGUGCAAAUUCUUAUGAUUAAAAUACAUAAAAGUUUGAGAGAAUCUUAUGCUAAAAAUAAAGAUUUGAAAACAAAAAUAAAUGAUUUGUUGGAAGAAAACUUCAAACUUUUUCAAGAAAACAAAUGUUUGAGAAUGGAAAAUGAUGAUUUAAAAAAUCAAAAAGGUGUUUUUGAUUGUAAAAAUAAUUUGAAAAGGAAGUUGGAAGAGAAAACAAAGUUUUAUGAAAAAAUGUUGGAGGAACAAAAUUUGUUAAAGAAAAGAAUUAAUGAUUUGAACGAGUUUCUCCAAAAUGAAAAACAAAAGUUUUCUCAAACAAAAGAAAGCAAAUCUUUUCAAGGCACAAAUAAGUUUGCUAUGAUAAGAAGUAAGAAAAUUAGUUGCAUUAAAUCCACUUAUGUGCAAAAUACUUCUAUCAUGUGUCACUUUUGUUGCCAAUUUGGACAUAUGCAAAAUGAUUGCUAUGUAAAGAAAAAUAUGAGAAAAUGUAUGAAAUCCAUGUGGAUUGCUAGAUCAUGUUGUACUAACUCCCAAGGACCCUAUAAAGAAAAAAUACCAAAUGAAAUUUCUCAUACUUAGGUACAUCAUGAAGAUUUAAUCCAAAAAGUGCUAAAUGGUUGAAAGUACAUUUGAAAGUUUUGACAUUCAAUAUGGUCUUGAUUUGAAAAAUAAAGGAGGAGUUUGCUUUUUGAUUGAUGCCAAAAGGGGGAGUAGGAUUUAUUGAAAUUUCUUUGUAUGUUGGCAUUUUCUAAGGGGGAGUUUUAUUUGAACUUAUUUGAUCAAAGAAAUCUUCAUUUUGUUUGUCAUCAUCAAAAAUGGGGAGAUUGUUGACCUUGGUUGAUCAAUCCUUGGUUUUGAUGAUUAACAAACCAAAAUGUAGAUUUGGACUAAUGUUUUUAUGUGAGAAAUUUGUUAGAACAGGUCAUUGAUCCAAAAGAGAAUCGAAAAGAUUUGAAUCAAAGAGAAGUUAAGAAAUAUGAAGGUUCGGACGUAGAGGAUCGGACGCUCAAUAGAGGAUCGGACGUCCGACAGACGACGAUACUCUUCGGACGCUUGGAUCAGACGCUCAUUCAUUGCUUCGGCCGUCCAACACAAAAAGAAUGAAAGUUGAACAUUCUGACUUCUAUCGGACGCAGGGUUCGGACGCAGAACAAAUGGUUCGGACGUCCGAUAGGUGGUUCAGACGCAUGGUUCGGACGCAGAGCAAAUGGUUCGGACGUCCGACAGGCCAACGGCUAGUUUCGACAGCAUUUAAUAUUUGACCGUUGGAGAACCUUUUGGAGCCAUUUCUCACCUUCUAUAAAUACCCCAAAACACAAGAAGACACAGACUUUUGCCAACACUAAAUACAAGCUUACAAGUGAGAUCUUUGAAUAGAAAUAUUCUUUGUUGGUUGUAUAAGGGGUUGGGAAAGUUGGGUUGUGAGGUUGCUCAAGUGAAGGUUACUCUCUAGGAGGAGUAAAACCUUGGUGAAGGUGAACCUAUCACUUGGAGUGGUAAAAGCUUGAUAAAGGUUGCCUCACUUGUAUAAAGUAGUUCUUAAUUGAGUGGGUAAGCUUUCAAUUGUAGCUAGUUGAGGGUUUACUUGGAGAGUAGUAAAAUUCCUUUGCUCAACCAAAGUAUGUUUGGGGUGAGGAAGGAGUGAGCCUUCACUUGUACAAGUUGGUUAGCACUACCAUCAAUUGAAGAAACUAUUUGAUGGAUUCAACUCCAAGUUUGGAAGAAGCUUGGGAGUUUGAUUGGUUUGAAUUUCUUUUACUUUAUUGUUACUCUAUUUUCGUGCUUUAAAAUUGCUUAUAUUCUUUGUCAUCGUAUUUACUUGACUACUUGUCUGGUUGAGUAUUUUGGUUGUAUUUGGUUGCAUCGGGGCUAACAAGCUUGUUACAUAUGAGUUUAUUAAUUGGGAACUUCUUUUACAUAAAUUACGGGUACCACCAUGGGUAUCCACCUUUUUUAAGAGAUACAGACGUGUAAAUAUAGACCAUAUCUAUUACUAUAUAAUGUAAUCGUAUUUUGACUAAAAUCACAAAUGUCAAUCAGAAACUAUUCAGAAUAAAAAAAAAGGGCUACAUGGAUAAAUAAAAUUAACUUUGUAAAAACAUUUUUCUAUUAGACACUUUCCAUAUUUUGUAUCACAAAAAUAAAAAGUAGAAAGGAUUUGAACUUCUUCCAAACUAAAAUUUGAAGAAAAUCUCAAAACAUAUAUAGUCAAAAUGUAACUGAAAAAAAAAAAGAUUUCUAAAGAUUCAAAUUAAAAUAUCUAUGAAUUUAGGGUAAAAUACACGGAACUCCCCUAUGGUUUCGCGAAAAGACACAUUAUCCCCCUAUCGUUUAGAAACAUACACAUAAACACCCUAAACUUCAUAACUAAAGUGGAAAUUGACUUCUUAACCGGCUGAGUUACCAGCUGCAGGUCGAAUACCCAAAAUACCCUCAUUUAUAAUAGAGAGGGAGAGAGAAUCAAGAACUGACUCUCUCUCGUUCACUCUCUCUCGUUCAUCCUGUGUAAGAAAAAAAAACCCUAAAACAAGGGAUUUGUAUACUAAAUUGUUGCUGAAAUAUCAUGAAUCUGAGUUGAAAACAGCGUGGCUGCCUUUCGGACAUGAAUUGGUUGAUCCUAAAGGGUUCCUGAGAAGCUGGAACAACAGUGGUAUUGGAGCUUGUUCGGGUGGCUUGGCCGGGAUUAAAUGUGCUCGGCGACUAGUAAUUGUAAUCCAGCUUCCCUGGAAAGGUCUAGGUGGUCGAGUAACUGAAAAAAUUGGGCAGCUUCAAGCUCUCAGAAAGCUUAGCCUCCACAAUAAUGCAAUUGGUGGUGCAAUUCCUUCCUCGUUGGGGCUUUUGCCUAACCUCAGAGGUGUUCAAUUAUUCAAUAAUCGAUUUUCUGGUUCAAUCCCACCUACACUUGGUUUGAGUCCCCUUCUUCAAUCACUAGAUUUCUGUAACAACUCCCUCUCUGGAACUAUUCCGGCUACUCUUGCCAAUUCAACCAGGCUCUUUAGGCUUAAUUUUAGCUACAACUCUUUGUCUGGUUCAAUUCCCACCAGCCUUACUCAAUCGCAAUCGCUGAUUUUUCUUGCUCUAGAGCACAACAAUCUCUCUGGUUCCAUUCCUGACUCUUGGGGUGGAAAUGUGAAGGCCCUCUAUCAACUUCAGUCCCUAACACUUGGUCACAAUUCAUUUUCUGGGACAAUUCCAGCUUCUCUUGGCAACUUAAGUGAGCUCCAAGAGAUUUCACUCAGUCAUAACAACAUGGCUGGAUUGAUACCCAAUGAAAUUGGAAGACUAUCUAGGCUUAGAACACUUGAUUUCUCAUAUAAUGCACUCAAUGGGAGCUUACCUGCCGCUCUUUCCAAUUUAUCAAACCUUGUAGUUUUGAACUUGGAAAGCUACCAUCUUGACCACCAAAUUCCUGCAGCUGUAAACAAACUACAGAAACUAUCUGUUCUCAACUUGAGAAAUAACCAAUUUGCUGGUCCUAUUCCAGCAACAGUUGGGAACAUUUCUUUCCUGACACAAGUUGAUUUAUCUCAAAACAAGUUUAGUGGAGAGAUUCCAGCAUCUAUAGGUGAUUUACCUAAUCUUAGUUCCUUUAAUGUGUCUUACAACAAUCUGUCCGGUCCUGUUCCAACUAAGCUUGCUCAAAAGUUCAAUGCAAGCGCCUUCGUGGGCAAUCUUGAGCUAUGCGGAUACAGUGCAUUAACCCAAUGUCCAAUACCACCCUCUCUGGGCCCAUCAACUCCACCAGAAUCUCCAGCAAAGAAACAUCAUAGACUGAGCACUAAAGACAUUAUUCUCAUCGCAGCUGGGGCUCUCCUCAUCUCCGGAGAAAAAGGCACUCCUCCAACUGCAGGUGAAGUUGAAGCAGCUGGAGAAGCAGGAGGAAAGAUUGUCCACUUUGAUGGACCCAUGGUUUUUACAGCAGACGAUCUGUUGUGUGCCACAGCAGAGAUCAUGGGUAAGAGCACUUAUGGAACAGUAUAUAAGGCAGCAUUGGAGGAUGCAGUGUUGCUGCAGUGAAGAGAUUGAGAGAGAAGAUUACAAAAGGACAAAGGGAAUUUGAAACUGAGGUUAAUAUACUGGGGAAGAUCAGGCAUCCAAACCUUUUAGCGAUGAGGGCUUAUUAUUUAGGUCCGAAAGGUGAAAACUUCUCCGUAGAUCUUCUCCCUUUUUCCUUUCACUCUUUGAUAGCUUGAAAUCUCUUCUCCCCUGAUAUGUCACUUCAAUAUAGCAACUGAAGGGUAACUUGGGAAUGAAACUCAAGAUCUUUUCAAAAGAAUCUCGCAUACCCAUCAUCAGUAGGUCGUUCAGCCGGUUAUAGGUCUAUUUCCACUUUAGUUAUGAAGUUUAGGGUGUUUAUGUGUAUGUUUCUAAACGAUAGGGGGGUAAUGUGUCUUUUCGCGAAACCAUAGGGGGGUUCCGUGUAUUUUACCCAUGAAUUUAAAUAAAUGUGUUUAAUUGUAUAGUUGAUACAAUUUUGGUAAUAUCUUCUAUAAUAAGGUAAAGCCAAUAAUUAUAAAUCUUCAGCAUGUAUAGUAUAUGCCAAACCAAUCAAAUAUGUAUAACGAAUGUGAAUUUCUUUUAUUUAUAACCUCUUUCAUGUAGAAAAAAUAUCUUUAUUAAAUUAGAUUGGUUUUAUGAGUACUAAGUGAUUAAAUUAUAAAAUAUUAGAAUGUCAUUACUAUCUCAGUUAUCAAAUGGCAUUGCCUAAGAUCUACUUUAGUAUCUUAAGAGUGAGGCUUAAACCAAUAGUUAGUUAAUAAAAUAAUUAAAAAAAUGGAAAGUCAUGGUAACUAAAAUAUGAAAAAUUAUGCAUGGAUGAUAGAAAAUGUAAAUUUCCAAAAAAAAAAAUUCCAACAUUUAUUGCCAUAAAGAGAGAAAAAAACUAAAGUAAAUUGUUGAUAAGUAUAAAAAGGAAUGCAAUUGAAAUAAAAAAAAUUAAAGAAUAAAUUAGUGAGAAGGAGAUCACUUCAUGUGUUGCACACUAAAGUAGACAACAAACUAAAGAAUGGAUGAAAAAAGAAAGUCUACAAAGCUUAUACACCAUACAACUCUUCACUAUUUUUACCAAUUUUGCUAUUAGUCAUGUAAGAGUUUGUAGAAUUUUGUUCAAUCUUUUUGCUUAGAAUUUAAAAUUUGAUGGUGUGAUAUAUAUCUUUCAACUUAAUCAAUUGUAUCUCUUUAUAAAGCCAUAGCCAUGGUUUUUCACGUGACAAUGUAUUCCUGUCUUUUUCUUUUUAUUCACUCUAAGAACUAAAACAUAGGACCAAUUCAACUUUAAACAUCAAUAGAUUCUUUGACAUUUGAUUUUUCUUGCCUACAAUGACAUUAAUUUUGAUUAAGUUCAACAUCAUAUACUAAGGGCAAAUUACACUUUUCCACCCUAUAGUUUAGUGUUUCCUUAUAUAAUUCUCCUAUGGUUUCAAAAACUAUAUAUAACCCCCUCAUAGUUUGGAUUAAAGCGUCAAAGUAACGGAAUUUGCAAUCCAUCACGGAGUCAAGUAAAAUGUCAAAAAUAUCCCCAUGUAAAGUAGAAAAUUACUUAUUAACCACAAGGGGGUUAUGUUUAUAUAUAUUAAAAACCAUAAGGGGGUUAUAUGAUAAAGCAUUAAACCAUAAGGGAGUUAUAUGAUAAAAUAUAAAAUCAUAUGGGGUUAGAGUGUGAUGCAUAUUAUGUUUAUAUAUUUUGGUCACUUCAGUCAUUUUAGUUUUUAAACAAUGGUAAUUUCGAUAUUGUCCUAGGUUUCGUUACAGAUGAUCAUUUCUAUCACUUUAAUACCUUAAUCCAAACUAUGAGGGGAUAUAACAGAUUUUAUCAGAUUGAGUUUGAUAUCAAAAUAAUUUAGUUAUUAGAAAAAUAAGGAUAUUUGUUAACCAAAGAUCAUGUUGGUUUGUUAACAAAUAUUUUACCUAAGAUUUGCUAGUAGAGGAAGAUUACAUUUUGUUGAGAUUUUUAGGAUAAUUGUUAGUUGAUAUUUUGCUAGUUUAUUUCAUGUAAUCACUAUAAAUAGUAAGUUGAUGAAUGAAUAAUACAAACUCAUUUUCUACUUUCAAUACAAGUCUCUUAUAAGUUUUUUUUUUGCAACACUAAGGUAUUGUUUUUUAGUGUAUGCCCCAAAAAACCAACAGAAGCACGUGCAUUUUACUAGUAACCCAAUAUAUUCUUUUUUUGUGGAGAUAUUAAAGGUGGCAUGCACUUGCUAACUGCCCUUACCACUUGCUAACUGCCCUUGCCACUUGCCUUUAAUUAUUUGUGAUCCAUUACUUUGAUGGAAGUUGUGUGGUUUAGUGGAGUUCAAGAAAUGGGACAAGAGCUACUUGUAUAAGCUUCAUUUAAAACCAGUUGUUAUGAACUAGUAACAGAAGUUUCGUUGUUGUCAACCAAAAAAAAAAAAAAAUGUUUAGUUGUUGUCAACAAAGGAAAAAUAAAUAAAUUAAUAAAAAUCCUGAUGCCCUGACAGAGAGGAGAAUCUGACAAUCAAUUAACUAUAUCAAGAAUAGUUGGAAAGCCAGAAAGAUAUUAUAAUGAGGAUGAUAUAAAACCAUUUGUAUGUUAUGACAUACUCUUACCUAAUUUGAGCAGGCAAAUAAUAACAGGGUUGUACUUUUCUUAGUUUCACGUGUCGAAUGUAAAUAUGUGAAUUUAGUUUGAUUUUGCAAGACAAAAACUCAGGAUGUUUCAAUUAAAGUCUAAGAAUCUGAACUUGAAGGUUACAUAAGAUAGCAUUGAGCUUACCUUUGCGAUGAUCAUCGGUAUGCCGAUAUCAAGUUCUCUGCCAUUCUGGGAAAAUCUUGGAGAGAUUGCUGCCCCUAAAGAAAUUCUAUUAUUAGUUUGUACAAAGCCUGAACACAGGAGGUUAUAGCAUCCUGUGGUUCCAUAUGAAUCAGCCUGUAGAUUGAAAGUGAUCCGCAAUCAAGAACUUUUAUGUCUGGCACAUACAGACGUAACUUAAGGAUGCAUAUUUGAUGGUUUACCGUCCAAUACGUGAAGAAUCUGGGGGAGUUGUCUCCAAAUAAUUUCGGAUUAACCUGGAGAAUUUAAAAAUGGCUGAUCCUUAGAUGUCUUCUUCUUCUUCCACCCUAGAAGACUUAGAAAAAGUGACUCUUGUGUCUAGUUUACGUACCUGCCAGCCGGCUUCAACGGUAUUAAGAUCAUUACUAGUACUAUUACCAGAGGCCAUCCAGACUUGUGACAGUCUGAAGUCAUAUUGGUCCGUCUCAUUAGCUUUCCAGACAUGUAUGUAGAGCCGUGCUCCAGAGUAACAAUCUCCAGUAACAUCGCCAACAGGUCUCUACAUUGCAAAUAAAGAAAAGAUCAGGUGUAUAAAAUCCGAAUCUAUGAACUUUUGAUGCUACGAUUGGAAACUUAAAAGCUUAGACAGAGCCAAAAUAUGUUAACAGCAAUUUGAUUUGCAACUUGAUUUAUUCAUAUUGUCCAAUGAGGUUCUUAAAUAUCACUUUUUCCUUUGGUAAGAAUUUCACUUUUAUUCUCUUCUCAAACUUCUCAUUUGUUUGGCAUUGUUCCAGAAAUGUAAUUAUUUUGAGGAGAGAAUAAGAAAAUGACAUGAUCUAUUUUUCGGAGAGAGAGAGAGAGACAUUUGGAUGUAAUUAUAGGAAGAAGAUAAGAUAAGUUUCCCCAAACUUCGAGUCGCUUAUGCAUUGAUUUAGAAAUCAUUGCCUUGAUAAAUCUGAGAAACUGACCUAACUAGUUUCUUAAAAACUAACUGAACCAAGCUUUUUUGAGUGCCAUUUUACUUCAUUUCAUAGACUUACCAGUUGAUCAUUACUGCUUAUCUUAGUAUUCUGUUUACUGAAAGAUUUUCGGCCGAAUUUGUGCAGUGAACCAGCUCUCAGGACAUCUUUCAUUGUAGUUCUUCUGAUAGGUACAGUACCAUCCGGGCACGAUUCACCAGAAUCAGUCCACAGUUGAAUGCUCUUCCUCCAGCCAUGGUUGGUUGGUCUCUGUCCAAAUAUCGGCGGAGUUACAGUUGAAAGCUCUGUCGAUACCAGAAUCAGUCCAAACAAAACUUUUUCAAGACAUCAAAUUUCUUUCAUCAUAGUGCCAGGUUAAAUCUGGAUAUGCUUUAAUUUUAUCAGCCCAUUACUAGGUAUGUGUAAAUGUACUUUUAACAAAAUAGUUUCCUUAGACUCUAGUUUCUGCAGAAACAUAGAGCAAAUGAUCUGAUUCUGAACACAAUUACCAGUGGCUUCAGUCCUUUGAGCAGAGGAUGAUCAAAAGCCGGUUGGAGAUGAGAUGGGACACAAUCUAUUAGAUCACCAUCUGGACUCUGUGUCAAAGAAGUUAGGCAAAUUGAAAUUAGUAAACCUGAAAACCACUAAAAAGAUGCCAAAUUUAGCUAGCCACAGUACUGGAAAGGUAUGAAAAAGAAUUGCCUCAAUUGUCUUGAUUGCGAGUUUGUUAAUCCUCCUCAGAUACCUUCUAAUUCUCUUUGACUUCUGCACCCUUUGACUCAGAUGGAUAGUUUGAUUGCGUAACAGGUGGUUGUCACUGGAAUCCAAUAUAUCAUUUGGCAUAGAAAAGGCAGAUGAAAUAGAAGAAGCAAUAAGUACAACCAAAGUGAAGAUAAUUCGGACUGUUUUGUAACAUCUGGCAGAGGCCAUGCUUGUUCUGUAUAUAUCUAUUUCUGCUUCUCUUAACUUAGUGUUUCUCCUAAAUACAAAUAUCACGCAUUUGUAUUGGCCACCAUGACAUUCUGAACGACAGAAUCAUGGUUUACUAAAAAAUGAUUGUCCACCAAGAUAGCUGUAGUGCUCAAGAAGCCAUCCAAAUGCAAGAAGUCAACCCUGGAUUGUUAGAAAGUUUAUCAAAUCAUUUAUAUUACCCAACAAACCAAUCAAAGAAAAAGUCAAAUCAACUCUCCCUCAACAUUUUGAACUUUCUUCCCUCCUAUCUCUGGCUUUUCAAAGAUUCUAUAAUGUUAUAGUAGUCUCCCAAUAAGCAUUAAUGAGUAUAGGAGGUUUCACCAGUAAUAUAUUGAUAGUCUACGAAACUCAACUGGUUAUCAUAAAGAAUGUGCACAGACAAAAGGACUUGCAAAUUAAUGCAUAAGUUAAAGAUUCAAAACUUAUUUGCUUGCUCAGUGCAGCUAGCUUAGGGAUGACAGCAGAUGCAGAUGGAAUCUAAGUUAUAAUUUGCUGCUUGGUUUUCACUUUUGUGUAGGUCAAAUUCAUGUGGCUUGCUUAAUCUCCACAGCUAGCUGGUUGGUGGGCGCAUAUCAGCCUCCUCAUCGAUAUUAAUCUAUUAAUCGACUCUCAAUUUGUCUUGCUAAUUUGUCUUCCUGUUUUUCAGAUUUUGUUUCCUUCUUUUCUAACCUAAGAAGUCAGGGUGGGUGUACACAAAUUUAGUUGACUUCAGAUUCCAAUGUAUUUGACAUUUAGUUCAGGUAAAAGCAUCUCACUCUACAUAUGCUGACUUGAAAAUCACUGUUAUGUCUAAAAUUGUUUUAUACCCUCUUAUUAUUUUAUUUUAGAGAUUAUCAAUUCCAUGAUUCCAUCUGAGAAAAAUAUAGCCAAUUCAUAUAGGUAAAAUGUAUCUAUAUCAGUACUUGCUGUUAGUUGCAUGUGCCUAAGCAGAAUCUGUCUUUGGCAAACAAACAAUCUGUCUUGAUGGCCUAACUCAGAUUUAGUUUGUCAUUUUCACUGUUUUUCUUUGCUUGAGAGCUGUUAUCAAGUCUUGUUUAAGUGAUUUUGUCUUACAAGGAAGGUUCAUGUUAUAUUAUAAACUGAGGUUGGUGACAGAAAUGUUACAUUUUUUUUUGUUUUCCCCAUGCUUGGCACAUGCAAGUCUGCUCAUAGAACGUUAACCACUCAUUUUCAUGUCUUAAUCAAAUUGCUUAAUCUAAUACACAAAGGAAGACUAAUACUGCAGUGCCAUUGGCUAGGUUCUUGUUUCAGCUUUCAAGAUGGACAAUCAAUGGCAUAUUGGUCAUUUUGCCUGAACAUCAACUUUGAGAAGGAUAAAGAAUUGCAUUAAUACCAUACAUAGCUUUCUUCUCUGUGCAUGCACGUAACUUUCCAUAUCCACAAGGUACAAAAGUAGAAAGUAAAUUACACACAAUACUCCUAUUUAUCUUCUUGCUACAAAGUAAUGGGUAAAAACUUUUUGUUGGGGGGGUGAAAUGGAAUGCUUUUCAAAAGAAUUUUGAAAUGGUCUAUGUCUAUUUAAAGGAAAGGGGAAAUUGG
RNAcentral lists this long non-coding RNA (25080 nucleotides) under Coffea arabica (coffee). RNAcentral's name for it is "long non-coding RNA (CARA_LNC003160)". Lineage: Eukaryota; Viridiplantae; Streptophyta; Magnoliopsida; Gentianales; Rubiaceae. The record is from RNAcentral.